This 448-nucleotide ribosomal RNA is filed under the name uncultured bacterium. RNAcentral describes it as "partial 16S ribosomal RNA". It matches the Rfam family "Bacterial small subunit ribosomal RNA", at positions 329 to 796 of the family's 1533-position model. The record is from RNAcentral.
GUCCAGACUCCUACGGGAGGCAGCAGUGGGGGAUAUUGCACAAUGGGGGGAACCCUGAUGCAGCGACGCCGCGUGGGUGAAGGAGCGUUUCGGCGCGUAAAGCCCUAUCGGCAGGGAAGAAGGAGGACGGUACCUGACUAAGAAGCCCCGGCUAACUACGUGCCAGCAGCCGCGGUAAUACGUAGGGGGCAAGCGUUAUCCGGAUUUAUUGGGUUUAAAGGGUGCGUAGGCGGGCUUUUAAGUCAGCGGUGAAAAUUCGGGGCUCAACCCCGUCCGGCCGUUGAAACUGGGGGCCUUGAGUGGGCGAGAAGAAGGCGGAAUGCGUGGUGUAGCGGUGAAAUGCAUAGAUAUCACGCAGAACUCCGAUUGCGAAGGCAGCGUACCGGCGCCCAACUGACGCUGAAGCACGAAAGCGUGGGUAUCGAACAGGAUUAGAUACCCCAGUACC